GGGAUUGUGGCUCAGUGGUAGAGCACUUAGCUCCCAUGUGUGAGGCCCUGGGUUCAAUCCUCAGCACCA
Ictidomys tridecemlineatus (thirteen-lined ground squirrel) is the source of this 69-nucleotide non-coding RNA. NCBI's taxonomy places the organism in Eukaryota, Metazoa, Chordata, Mammalia, Rodentia, Sciuridae. The record is from Rfam.